UCUGCACACUGUUAGAGCCCGGCACUGCCUGCUGCGUGGGGUGCGGGGUGUAGGUUGUGUGCUACAGCAACUGCAAGAUCUCUGAUUUCCGUCUCUAAUUUUAUGAUUUGGAGAGGGAAUACAGUUGGAUUGUGCAACACUG
Molecule: small nucleolar RNA, 142 nt
Filed under: Astyanax mexicanus (Mexican tetra)
Lineage: Eukaryota; Metazoa; Chordata; Actinopteri; Characiformes; Acestrorhamphidae
Source: RNAcentral